UACGAAGGGGGCUAGCGUUGUUCGGAUUUACUGGGCGUAAAGCGCACGUAGGCGGAUCGUUAAGUCGGGGGUGAAAUCCUGGAGCUCAACUCCAGAACUGCCUUCGAUACUGGCGAUCUAGAGUCCGGAAGAGGUGAGUGGAACUCCUAGUGUAGAGGUGGAAUUCGUAGAUAUUAGGAAGAACACCAGUGGCGAAGGCGGCUCACUGGUCCGGUACUGACGCUGGGGUGCGAAAGCGUGGGGAGCAAACAGG
This 253-nucleotide ribosomal RNA is filed under the name uncultured bacterium. Its description in RNAcentral is "partial 16S ribosomal RNA". It matches the Rfam family "Bacterial small subunit ribosomal RNA", at positions 524 to 776 of the family's 1533-position model. The record is from RNAcentral.